AACCCAGACAGGAAGGUGGUGAGCAAGGACAAAGAUGUCAACUUCGGGCAAAGAAAAUGAUACCCAAGUCGAUGAACCGAGGCUUAAUGAUAUUAUAGAAAAGUCGUUCGAUUGAAUUGAGGAGGGUUUAUUUCGAUACACGAAAACAUC
Long non-coding RNA from Rhodamnia argentea, 150 nucleotides. RefSeq lists it as uncharacterized. The record is from RefSeq and is a predicted model, not a curated record. The transcript has 5 exons. Lineage: Eukaryota; Viridiplantae; Streptophyta; Magnoliopsida; Myrtales; Myrtaceae.